GAUGAAGAACGUAGUGAAUUGCGAUAAGUAAUGUGAAUUGCAGAAUUCAGUGAAUCAUCGAAUCUUUGAACGCAACUUGCGCUCUCUGGUAUUCCGGAGAGCAUGCCUGUUUGAGUGUCAUGAAAUCUCAACCAUUAGGGUUUCUUAAUGGCUUGGAUUUGGAGGUUUGCCAGUCUAACUGGCUCCUCUUAAAGGAGUUAGCAAGUUUGACUAUUGCUAUCUGGCGUAAUAAGUUUCGCUGGAAUGGUAUUGUGAAGCGUGCUUCUAAUCGUCUUCUGGACAAUUAUUUUGACUCUGGCCUCAAAUCAGGUAGGACUACCCGCUGAACUUAAGCAUAUCAAUAAGCGGAGGA
RNAcentral lists this unclassified non-coding RNA (352 nucleotides) under soil metagenome. RNAcentral describes it as "partial contains 5.8S ribosomal RNA, internal transcribed spacer 2, and large subunit ribosomal RNA". The stretch from base 1 to 120 matches the Rfam family "5.8S ribosomal RNA", at positions 35 to 154 of the family's 154-position model. The record is from RNAcentral.